RNAcentral lists this ribosomal RNA (432 nucleotides) under uncultured bacterium. RNAcentral describes it as "bacterial SSU rRNA". It matches the Rfam family "Bacterial small subunit ribosomal RNA", at positions 65 to 518 of the family's 1533-position model. The record is from RNAcentral.
UUCGGGGUGACGAUUGUUGACUGAGUGGCGGACGGGUGAGUAACGCGUGGGUAACCUGCCUUGUACAGGGGGACAACAGUUGGAAACGACCUGCUAAUACCGCAUAAGCGCACAGCUUCGCAUGAAGCAGUGUGAAAAGUAUUUUCGGACAAGAGUGGACCCCGCGUCUGAUUAGCUAGUUGGUGAGGUAACGGCCCACCAAGGCGACGAUCAGUAGCCGACCUGAGAGGGUGACCGGCCACAUUGGGACUGAGACACGGCCCAAACUCCUACGGGAGGCAGCAGUGGGGAAUAUUGCACAAUGGGCGAAAGCCUGAUGCAGCCGACGCCGCGUGAGCGAAGAAGUAUUUCGGUAUGUAAAGCUCUAUCAGCAGGGAAGAUAAUGACGGUACCUGACUAAGAAGCACCGGCUAAAUACGUGCCAGCCGCAGC